This 70-nucleotide transfer RNA is filed under the name Dipodomys ordii (Ord's kangaroo rat). It matches the Rfam family "tRNA". From Rfam's summary of the family: Transfer RNA (tRNA) molecules are approximately 80 nucleotides in length. Their secondary structure includes four short double-helical elements and three loops (D, anti-codon, and T loops). Lineage: Eukaryota; Metazoa; Chordata; Mammalia; Rodentia; Heteromyidae. The record is from Rfam by way of RNAcentral.
GGGAAUGUAGCUCAGUGGUAGAGCACUUGUCUAACAGGCAUAAGGCCCUAGGUUUGAUUCCUCAGUACCA